UGGGCAACCUGCCCCUCUCUCUGGGAUAACUCCGGGAAAACCGGGGACUAAUACUGGAUAUGACAUUUGCGCGCAUGCGUGGGUGUGGAAAGUUUUUCGGCUAGAGAUGAGCCCGCGGCCUAUCAGCUUGGUGGUGGGGUGAUGGCCUACCAGGCUUUGACGGGUAGCCGGCCUGAGAGGGCGACCGGCCACACUGGGACUGAGACACGGCCCAGACUCCGUACGGGAGGCAGCA
This 235-nucleotide ribosomal RNA is filed under the name uncultured bacterium. RNAcentral's name for it is "partial 16S ribosomal RNA". It matches the Rfam family "Bacterial small subunit ribosomal RNA", at positions 118 to 353 of the family's 1533-position model. The record is from RNAcentral.